UAGUACCACGCCAUUCGUCCGCUCUUUUUGCUCACACGAAAUUGAUCAGAGAGAGAGAUUGAUACGUUUUAUCAUCAAUCAAUUCACUAGACUUUCCAUUUUGGUUAAACCAUUCCUUUUCAAUUUGUGCGAAGACAAUGGAUCAAGCAUUCAAGAUCACGGUUGAUGUGAAAAGGAUUUUAACAUAAGAAAAUUCCCUGGUCGUCACUAACUAACAAAAAUAGUCAUACGUGCAGGACAACGAAAUAGCUGACCUGACUUUAGGCGAUUGAAGUUUUGGUUUACAUAACGUGUACGUGCACUGUUGUUGCCGCUUUGACCUGUUUCCUUGCAAUUGUUAAGAGCUUCUAAUUAUUGGAUUCCAUUUAUCGGUGCUUUCCCGACGAGGGUUGUAGUCCCUGGGGACAGUAGUUGCACGGUUUGCGGCUUGUGAUUCGGCAAGAGUAACAUGGUUGCAAGUGUAUUUAUGGCUUAAGUUGCAGGCUCCUCCUCCAUUCGAGUAUUUGGGUCAGGCUCUGUAUUUUUGCCUUUGUUUGGACGUGCCAAAGAGGAACAAAAAAGCGAGAUGCGGUCUUUGUAAUGAUGGUGUGGAGGAUUUGGAUGCGAAGAAACGAUAAGCUUUUCAAGGGGAGUAACAUGUCUUAGACAAGAGUAAUGCAAGACAUUAAAGAAACAACCCUUUGGUAGGUGAUGAAGAGAUAUAAGAUUGUAGGUGUUACGGCGUUGAAGUGGUCGUCAUUUAGCGUCUUCGAUGUUGGUUAAGAUAGGUGGUAUACGGGUGUUGUGAUUUUGUUUCUGCAGGUUGAUGUUUGUUUGGUGUUUCUGUGGUGUAUGAUGUACUAAGUUAUGUGGGCUUGGCUUAACUCCUUCAUGAGUCCUAGCCCAUGUUUUGGGUGUCCAUUGAAUAAAGUUUGGUUUAAAAAAGUAA
Helianthus annuus (common sunflower) is the source of this 928-nucleotide long non-coding RNA. RefSeq lists it as uncharacterized. Lineage: Eukaryota; Viridiplantae; Streptophyta; Magnoliopsida; Asterales; Asteraceae. The record is from RefSeq and is a predicted model, not a curated record. The transcript is spliced from 4 exons.